This 192-nucleotide non-coding RNA is filed under the name Candidatus Caccomorpha excrementavium. The record is from RNAcentral. Lineage: Bacteria; Bacillati; Bacillota; Clostridia.
AAAGCAGGUGCCGGGCAGUUCCCGGCUUAAUAGGGAAGCAAAUGAGAGGUUUGCACGGUCCCGCCGCUGUAUGAAAGGAGAAUUCUCUUCCGGGAGGAGGCUGCCGUACGGCAGUUUCGCUCCGGUCACUGUGAAUAUGGGAAGACGAAGAGAAUUUGAUGAGAUUCGAGUCAGAAGACCUGUCUGCUUUUA